AUUGAACGCUGGCGGCAUGCCUUACACAUGCAAGUCGAACGGUAACAGGUCUUCGGAUGCUGACGAGUGGCGAACGGGUGAGUAAUACAUCGGAACGUGCCUAGUAGUGGGGGAUAACCACUCGAAAGAGUGGCUAAUACCGCAUGAGAUCUACGGAUGAAAGCAGGGGAACGCAAGACCUUGUGCUACUAGAGCGGCCGAUGGCAGAUUAGGUAGUUGGUGGGAUAUAAGCUUACCAAGCCGACGAUCUGUAGCUGGUCUGAGAGGACGAUCAGCCACACUGGGACUGAGACACGGCCCAGACUCCUACGGGAGGCAGCAGUGGGGAAUUUUGGACAAUGGGCGAAAGCCUGAUCCAGCAAUGCCGCGUGCAGGAUGAAGGCCUUCGGGUUGUAAACUGCUUUUGUACGGAACGAAAAGCCCCGGGUUAAUACCCUGGGGUCAUGACGGUACCGUAAGAAUAAGCACCGGCUAACUACGUGCCAGCCGCCACGGUAA
This 498-nucleotide ribosomal RNA is filed under the name uncultured bacterium. RNAcentral's name for it is "partial 16S ribosomal RNA". It matches the Rfam family "Bacterial small subunit ribosomal RNA", at positions 30 to 523 of the family's 1533-position model. The record is from RNAcentral.